AAUGAUCCACCAAUCUGGCAGAAUCGACUCUGGUAUAGUACCGGCGAAGUGCGUCCUCAAAAUAAAUGAAGAUCGCAGGGUCAGACCACAGGACGGGAGACCGGAACAAAACACCCGCUUAUGCAAAUGAUGCAUGAAGUGCUUGUGCAUAUGCUUGUUUUUUAUUUCAAAGGAACUCGAGGGUUUUAUUUGCAAAUUUUGAAAUAUUUAAGCAUUUUGAUCAUACAUGAGAAUAUCUCAUCAGAUACAUCAGGUGAAAA
This 260-nucleotide long non-coding RNA is filed under the name Lathyrus oleraceus (garden pea). Its description in RNAcentral is "Pisum sativum (pea) long non-coding RNA (PSAT_LNC028319)". The record is from RNAcentral. Lineage: Eukaryota; Viridiplantae; Streptophyta; Magnoliopsida; Fabales; Fabaceae.